AGAUUGUGGAAUCAAUCUCCACUUGUGAAAACAAUUGAUCUUAAGUAAUAGAUCAUGUGUUGUUUUCAUUUCACCAAAUUUACCAUUUGUUUUACAAAACUAGUAACGGGAAACAAAAAAUGUACCGUCCUCCAACUUAAGGAUACUUGGUUGUCAUCAAGACCUCCUAAGUUCCUUGUUCCAAGAAGCAGGCAAAUAUUUGAUACAAGUCUUCUAAAGAAAGUCCACUGCUACAAAUCUCCUUAAGGGAAGAGUCUUUUAAUACUGUGUAGUCCUAUGUUCAGUAACAAUUUAGCUAUUAUAAAUAUUUGUCACAGAUUUGCAAGUGAAAGCCAAAUAUAAACCAAACUUACUGUUCAUA
Long non-coding RNA from Daphnia magna, 361 nucleotides. RefSeq lists it as uncharacterized. The transcript is spliced from 2 exons. The record is from RefSeq and is a predicted model, not a curated record. Lineage: Eukaryota; Metazoa; Arthropoda; Branchiopoda; Diplostraca; Daphniidae.